GAUGAAGAACGCAGUGAAAUGCGAUAAGUAAUGUGAAUUGCAGAAUUCAGUGAAUCAUCGAAUCUUUGAACGCACAUUGCGCCCCCUGGUAUUCCGGGGGGCAUGCCUGUCCGAGCGUCAUUUCAACCCUCAAGCUCAGCUUGGUGUUGGGCCCCGCCGCCCCGGCGGGCCCUAAAGUCAGUGGCGGUGCCGUCCGGCUCCGAGCGUAGUAAUUCUUCUCGCUCUGGAGGUCCGGUCGUGUGCUCGCCAGCAACCCCCAAUUUUUUUCAGGUUGACCUCGGAUCAGGUAGGGAUACCCGCUGAACUUAAGCAUAUCAAUAAGCGGAGGA
This 329-nucleotide unclassified non-coding RNA is filed under the name soil metagenome. RNAcentral's name for it is "partial contains 5.8S ribosomal RNA, internal transcribed spacer 2, and large subunit ribosomal RNA". The stretch from base 1 to 120 matches the Rfam family "5.8S ribosomal RNA", at positions 35 to 154 of the family's 154-position model. The record is from RNAcentral.